UUCUCUUUUGAAUUACUAUAUUUUAUUAAGCCUCAACACUGUACUGAAUGCCCCAAACUUCCCCAGGCGAACAGCUUGAGGGUUUGGGCAUUGGGGUUUUGUCACUGCAUUUCCCUCACUUGCUUUUUCUAAUUUUGUGUUGGUAAAUCCUGGCCCUGACCCUAUCGUUCUCAUGUUUUCUCCCUAGAAGCACGCGUAGAUAUGUGGAGACGCUCCAGCACUUUAAUUCCACCUCAUUAUAUGAAGAACUUCUGACUCCCUCUAAAUUACCACGGUGUUAUUUUAUUUUAAUUUGUCAUUAGUCCCUCCUUAGCCUGCUUACCUAAAAAGAAACAAACAAAAAAAGAAGCGGUUUACGUGCCCAUGAAUUUUGCCAUUUAUGUGCAUGCGUUUAUUCCUCCUUCCCUGGUAGCUUUUGGACCUGCUAACCCAUUUCCACCCAAGUUGAGAGGAGAAUUUAUUUUACUGCAUCCUUUCAUUGCUCGCAGCUCUUGUGGUUUUAAUGCGAUGUUGCAGAAAGGAAUCGAGUGCUUUACUCUCGUUGCGUGAGUGCUGGUGAUGAAUGGGGACCUAAUGAUUUCUCUUUCCCUUGAAUCAGCACCUGCACAACGUCCAGAGCCGCGUGCCCUUGCCGGCUGUGAUACGGAGCAAUGCUUUUUGCACAGAAGUCCCUUUAGUCCCACAGAUGCUGAAGCUGUCUUCUGCUAAUACUUUUCUGCCAGAGAAGAAAUCAGCCCUUUCCACCUCAUGGCCAUUUGCAUCACCCUAAGGAAAUGCUAUGAUCGGAGAAGGCAACGGAUGAAUAGUCCGGCAGGGGAAAAUCUCUCUCAUAAGGUCAAGUUCCCCAAGUUCACAUUGCCAAAUACCUGGCCCAUGACGUGGUUAUUUUGCAGGUGGAGAGUCACGCUUGGUGCCCAUUCAGUCCUGGGCUGCUUGCUGGCAGCUGUUGUGCCUAACUCCAGGCAGGAAUACGUUUCUAUAUUUUAUUAUAUUAUUAUAUAUAUUAUGAGGAAUACAUAGAUUUAACAAUGUGAGGUUUUGUGCUAGAGAGAGGACAGGGGCAUAAAAUUGUUUUUCUCAGGGAUUUAAUGAUUAAAGAUAACUGUCCAUCACCGCUCGGUGUAUUGUCUUCCACCCUGUCUUGUGUAUCCGUGUCUGUCCAGUUCAUUGCCAUUUCUUUUUGCUGAAAGGAAAAAAGAUCCAACAGCAAGCAAGCAACAUUUUCCAAAGCCAAUUACCAACUUUCUACAUUGUUGUAACUCACUGUUACAGGAUGCAUUCGCAAAGAAUUCCCCAUUUACACAGCGAACAUGUUUAAUACCUUCAGCAUUGUGCUUGGACUACAACAGUGGAGAAGAAGAGAGCCAUUUGAUUUUUGGCAUUCGGAGCUGCUGGUUUGGUAUUCCCCUUUGAACGAGGGAGCGGGACAGGUUAGGAUCCUUUGCUGUUCCAAAAAUCUCGUUUCAUGUGUCAUCUUUUUUACCGAUGCCCAUGUUAUGCCUGCAAAGCCUCAUUUCAGUGUACCUAAAACCCAGGCAGUUGGCUGUUUGCAGUGCAAUGCCAGGAAUGGGUAUUGAAGCUCAGUGGUUUCACAGCACGCAGGAGAAAUUACUUUAACCUGGAUGAUUCGGGAGGGUGCGUCAGCCACCGGCAGCAGAGACAGCUCUGGUGACGAGGAGCACUUGCUGAGCUAAAAUUUGGAUUCCACAACCUGGUGUCUUUGAAUUUCUAAACCAGGGUCAUUGCAGUCAGCCACUCACAGAAAGAAAAUGGUUUUAAACAUGUUCCCUCUGGUCUCCACACUGAGCUCCAGGGUGUAUGUCAGAUUUUUCCUCUUUCCUCUGGGGCUUUUCCUGUUGCUUUUGCAGAAAUAACUAACAUCCUUGCCAGGCACUGGUGCUGAAGUAAAUGCAUUAACGCUGCCAGUCGCCUUGCUGGCUGGUAGCCAUGACCCUGUAUCUAACGGGAAUAAAGCCUUCCGAAACACAGCAGGAGUAAGCAGUGCCAUGGACGGCUGCUUUAAUGUCAGCACAAGGCAUAAAACCAGCUUUGCUUCUGCUCCUCUUUGUUUUCAGCCUUCUCUAUGAUGGAGGAGAAUCACCGCAGACCGUUCUUUUGCUUUUAGCUGCAUUUCUUUUUCAUGCAGAAGCAUGAGCGUCCUUGGGACGUUUCUUUCAUCACAGGCAGGAUUUUGAAAGAGCCAAAAGAAAAUGUCUCCAAUGGAUCUGUUGUGUAUAACAAGGCUGAGAUAUUUUGGUGGAGUCAGUAUUCCACACGUACCUGCUCGGGACUUAUCAAUAGUGUCAUCUUAUUGAGGCUCUGAGCUGUACUGAAAAAUCACCUUAUAAUCAGAGACUCCCACGUUGUUUUUGAGGACUCACACCUAUACUCUCUUGGUGGGGGCUGCUUGUGGUUUUAGAGGUGCUUACUCAGUUGCACACACUGUUUGGGAGCAGGGACUGGAGCCCAGGUCAAACUGAGCAGGGUGGUUUUCCCAAGAUUUUGGUGCCAGGUGGAGGAAACUUCAUGAGGUGGGUCCUUCAGUGGGAUUUUUUGCCUUUGGGGUGCUUCUGAGUGGACCACAGAAACUGUUCUUGGAUCAAAACCUAGCCAAAACCCCAUGGCCAAGGACUGAGAGGUAAAUAGAGUGAGUUUGUAAAAUCUUUUGAAAGCCUUGAACUAUAAAAAUGCAACGAGCUAUUAAAAUGAAACCGUAGCUUCCCCCUUACCUGGUUCACACAGUUAAAAUGCUCAGCCCUCUACAUAACAGGGUGUGCAUGAGCAGUGUGCUUUUUUUUAUCCUGCAGUGGCAAGAAAGUUUAUCUUGGGUUUUUUGGGCAGAGUUUAUUUGUGGAUGAAGCCAAAUCAAUACCAGCUUGCUUUCCUAAGAACUUUUUAUUAAAAGACCAAAAGAAAUAAGGGCAUGAAGCUCUCAGAUGUAAUGUUAAUCAGUGAUGGAGCUCAGCAGUACAGCAAGGAGUAGUCUCCUGGGAUGGAUGGGAUGAAGGUCCCAGAUGUCCUCAAGGUAGGACAUAUCCCGCUGCAGACACGUUUAGGUCUGGACUCCCCUCCUGUAGCUCCCAGGUAGAGGCUGAGUGGUCCUGGAUCCCUCUGCCUAGUGCAGGAGUAGGGGUCUCCAAGGGCUGCAUUGCACCCGCGGGUACCCCAUCAGACCAGACGAGGAUGUAGGAUGGGGCAGUGUCUGCGUUCCCUCUCCUUGCUCACAGCCUGGCUCAGUUCUUCAACAUCUUUUGCAGAUCAACCCAAGACUGUGACCUCCCUGGCAUCAAACAAGGCUUUCCCCAAUUAAUCUGGUGGGGCACGAUUUUGGUGUGAAUCCUGUCAGCGCAUUUGGUUUGUCUGGAGCGUGUCUACCCUUUCUACUGUUUUAUUUCUGCAGGUGGAUGUAAAACUUUUAGCUUUUAUGUGCAAGGCUUAGAUAGUGUCUGCAUGCAACAGCAAGAUGAAAAUCUGGAGAAAACCACAGUGGUUUUUUUAUUUGUGUGCUUCAGGCAUGACUUUGCUUUUUAACAGAGCUGCCUCCUGCGCUCUCUGUUGGAGAAAAUGCACCCAAAAAGGCUGGUCCUGUGUCCGGGAGAUGUCUGCCCUGGAAAUGAGGAUUACAAUUUAAAAGAUGCUUCACCUAAUUGCCCAGGCAGGCAGCGAGGCGGGUAGCACGGACCCGAGCCCGCCGCACCAGAGCCCGCUGCUGCUGGAGCUGGGGAAGCCAGGCGAUGCUCAGAGCAGAACUGGUUUUCAUGGUCGCCCUCAGGUUUUAAAUGAGAUUUUAUGAAAGAGAUUGAAGUUUCUCUGGCCACCAGGAGACAGCUUCCUUUUGGGGAGCCCCUGGAAAGGUUGCAUUUCCAGCUGCCAGCCCUGCUUCCUUGCCCCCUCAUUGCCAUCGAGGUUGUCUCCAGUCCCAGUUCUGUACUGGUUUGUGUUGGGAGAUGACAGGAGAAGGGCUUCAAUGAAAAGAGGUCAGCUCAAAGGGCUGCUGCUGGCUCUAGGCCACUGCAAAAGUAAGUGGUAACAAAAAAAGUGAAUGCACAAGCAUGAAAUGCUUCUUACUAGUUUGCUACUUUUUCUAAUGAACAGCCAAAUUAUUUGGCAGGAGGUUGACUUUGAUGAAGUUACUUGUCUUCUGGGAGAAGCAAUACCCUAGGAAGCAGGGCAAAGCUGUUGUGGGUGAGACCUCUGGGGCAAAAAUUAGGGAUGAGGCCAAUGGAUCCUCCAGGCUGAGAUUUUGGAGGGGCUUAUAAGACUUCCAUGACCCCGAUUUGCAAAUGAGCCGGGUAUGAACUGGUGUCCCUAUAUCCCAGCAAGGAGCUAGGGAAGGCAGGAUGGCAAACUUGCACAAAACAUUUAUCGUUUCGCAGCAGUGACAGCCCCGUGUGCUGGUAGGUGGGAAGAAGCGAUGAGCCCCGUCCCCUCGGGCCGGGGUUUUGCUCAGCAGCAGCACUGGCGUCUCAGGCGUCUUCUCCUGGUGUGGUGACACACAAGCCCAUUCGCAGCACGUUUCAGACAUUAAUUUUAGGCUUGUUGAGAGCUGAGAUACAAUGUGAUGGAAGCUGAUGCUUCUUGCAAGAAGUGGACAGAGGGCAGAGGACCUCUUUGGCCUAGGAAGGGGCUGGGGGCUAGGAGGCCUCAAGCACAUUCCCAAGAGACCCCAGGGUGGUUUUGACAGAACCAGAUCAAAGCUCCCAUUGAAGAAAAGAAAUAUCUUUUCAUUGAGGAGAGGGAAAUCUCAUUCAGGCCCAUGCCAGCUGGGCUUGGCAUUGUCUGAGUGCCCCAACGCACGUCGUGGCUUCCAGUGUCAGAAGUGUCGCUGGAUGAGGCUCUUUCACACUGCGUAAACCAAGCAAAGAAGGAACAGUUGGAUGAAAAGCAACGUGCCCAAGCGAUGGGCCCCCCCCGCACCCCUCAGCUAUUAUUGCAGCUAUUUUGCAUUUGAAUGAGAACUUUCUCCUUUUGCAGCCCACUUCCUUCUGGGGCUUGAAUUGGCAAAUGGAGUUGUUAAAAAUCUCCAGUCUUGAGACCUGACAAAAGAUGGUUGCUAUGGAAAUAAUGGAAGUUGCAUCAUGAACAAAAUAUCUUCAGGCCCAGAGCCAGCGGGAGGGAGGAGGGGACACCUUGUCGGUCACGCAACUUCUGCGGGAGCCCACGUGCCUCCAUGCGGUUUUCCUCAGAUACCCUUAUUCUUGGCAGUUUGUUCUUUGGCUUAAAGAAGCCACAAAUGGAGAAAUCGGAAACGUCAUAACUGCAUGGAAAGGGCUUGUACAAACCUCAUCUGCUCUUUCUCCAGUGCUAGCACCACCAAAUUAAGCAGAGUUGCCCUACAUGCAAAUUUAUUCCUCUGCACAGGGUUUGAAUCAGUUGAGUUACUCAAAAGCAGCCUUCUUCAGGUUAAUGAAAAAUCUGUCCAGCUAUACUCCCAUUCUUUGAGAAAUUAUAUGAAGAAAUUGGAAAAUGAGGACAAAUUCAUGGCUAGAACUCUUGCCUGCUGUUGUAUGGUGUCUACCCAUUGAGCUUGGCAGUAGACCAAGCCACAAGGUGUUGACCUUGCUUUCUCUUUGCAUCAGUGCAAUGCUUAAAAAUAGGCAAUGAGCUCAAAAGAAGAAUAUAUAGCUUGUCUCUGGGAGUGACUAUCCAAGAAAAUCACACUUGCUAAAAUCAGUAUAAAUGCUAGGAUUUCCAAGAGCAACCACUGGAUGGUUGGAAAACUGGAUGAUAGGCUGUGGCUCCAAGGGUGACAGACGUGGGCUUCCCAUUCACAGUAGCAUUUACCCGUAUAUUUGUGGGGAUUUGGAGUCAGGGUGAAAGAAUUCUGGAUUUUAGGAUUGUGUAUCUUAGCGGGAGCUUGGUUUUCCCCGGGUUGGCACAGGGUAAGAAAUUAGAAUCCUGGUUUCAAGUGAGGUGUAAAUUUGGGAUCAGACAGUGACGUGCAGCUCCUAAACUAGAUCUUAGAGUCUGAGCAUUUUACUCUGAAGAAUUUCAUCAUUCAGAACCAGCACAUUUGCAUCGAGGCUGAAUUAACUGCAAGCAUCAGGUUAUGGCAGCGUGGAAACCUAGGAAUGUGCCAUUGCCAACAUGCAAAGAAAGGGGUUGGGUAGCUCUGGGAUUAGUAGUGUGCUUACGGAUCAUUUUACUACAUCAGCUCCCAAAUGUGUGAUGUUAGGGGGGAAAAAGAUACUAUCUGGUGCCCCUGAUCCCUCGUAACCCCCUGCAAAAGGAAUUAGAGGGUUUGGCUUUGCCGCAGGUAUUUGCAAGGCAGCCCAAAAACAUAUCCGUGGGGAUGUGGCUUUAAGGGACAUGACUCUAACUGUGAUGUUUAGUUGGAGGGGUCACAUCUUUCCAUGGCCUUCUGGGGGUCAAGGAUGGAGAAAGGCUCUUUUAUCGCCUAGGAUGUAUUUCAUGAAGGUGGAGGGAGAACAGGAAUCAGGGCUCCGGCUAUGAUGGAAAACACAAGGUGGCACAAAGCCAUGUCUCACCUCGAUGCCAGAAGGAAGAGAUCAACAAAGUACCCAUGAAGAUGCUAAAGGAAAGGAGAGGUCUUGAGGUCUGGAGAGAGAAACCUUCCCCAGUAAGGUUGUACGGAGGAGAGGGAAUUUGCAUUUCAUGCACACUUCCUACACACCCCAAGGUAGCUGCAUUAAACUGUGCUUUUUUGGCCAUCUGCUAGAGGAAUAGCCAACUCGCAGCAAGAAAGGGAGGGUGGUUUUGUUUUUUAAAAAAAAAAAAUCCCACUGGUUAAAAUCA
Long non-coding RNA from Aquila chrysaetos chrysaetos, 6756 nucleotides. RefSeq lists it as uncharacterized. The transcript has 4 exons. The record is from RefSeq and is a predicted model, not a curated record. NCBI's taxonomy places the organism in Eukaryota, Metazoa, Chordata, Aves, Accipitriformes, Accipitridae.